RNAcentral lists this ribosomal RNA (739 nucleotides) under uncultured Photobacterium sp. RNAcentral describes it as "bacterial SSU rRNA". It matches the Rfam family "Bacterial small subunit ribosomal RNA", at positions 663 to 1401 of the family's 1533-position model. The record is from RNAcentral. Lineage: Bacteria; Pseudomonadati; Pseudomonadota; Gammaproteobacteria; Vibrionales; Vibrionaceae.
AGAAUUCCAGGUGUAGCGGUGAAGUGCGUAGAGAUCUGGAGGAAUAUCGGUGGCGAAGGCGGCCCCCUGGACAAAGACUGACGCUCAGAUGCGAAAGCGUGGGUAGCAAACAGGAUUAGAUACCCUGGUAGUCCACGCCGUAAACGAUGUCUACUUGAAGGUUGGGAUCUUGAAUUCUGGCCUUCGGAGCUAACGCGUUAAGUAGACCGCCUGGGGAGUACGGUCGCAAGAUUAAAACUCAAAUGAAUUGACGGGGGCCCGCNCAAGCGGUGGAGCAUGUGGUUUAAUUCGAUGCAACGCGAAGAACCUUACCUACUCUUGACAUCCAGAGAAGCCAGCAGAGAUGCAGGUGUGCCUUCGGGAANUNUGAGACAGGUGCUGCAUGGCUGUCGUCAGCUCGUGUUGUGAAAUGUUGGGUUAAGUCCCGCAACGAGCGCAACCCUUAUCCUUGUUUGCCAGCACGUAAUGGUGGGAACUCCAGGGAGACUGCCGGUGAUAAACCGGAGGAAGGUGGGGACGACGUCAAGUCAUCAUGGCCCUUACGAGUAGGGCUACACACGUGCUACAAUGGUGCAUACAGAGGGAAGCAAGAGCGCGAGCUGGAGCGGAUCCCAAAAAGUGCAUCGUAGUCCGGAUUGGAGUCUGCAACUCGACUCCAUGAAGUCGGAAUCGCUAGUAAUCGUGGAUCAGAAUGCCACGGUGAAUACGUUCCCGGGCCUUGUACACACCGCCCGUCAUC